AGAUUGAACGCUGGCGGCAUGCCUUACACAUGCAAGUCGAACGGCAGCACGGGAGCAAUCCUGGUGGCGAGUGGCGAACGGGUGAGUAAUAUAUCGGAACGUGCCCAGUAAUGGGGGAUAGCCCGGCGAAAGCCGGAUUAAUACCGCAUACGACCUAUGGGUGAAAGCGGGGGAUUCGCAAGAACCUCGCGUUAUUGGAGCGGCCGAUAUCAGAUUAGCUUGUUGGCGGGUAAAAGCCCACCAAGGCAACGAUCUGUAGCUGGUCUGAGAGGACGACCAGCCACACUGGGACUGAGACACGGCCCAGACUCCUACGGGAGCAGCAGUGGGGAAUUUUGGACAAGUGGGCGCAAGCC
Molecule: ribosomal RNA, 356 nt
Filed under: uncultured soil bacterium
Lineage: Bacteria
Description: bacterial SSU rRNA
Rfam family: Bacterial small subunit ribosomal RNA
Source: RNAcentral